GGUGAGUAACACGUGGGUAACCUGCCUGUAAGACUGGGAUAACUCCGGGAAACCGGGGCUAAUACCGGAUGCUUGAUUGAACCGCAUGGUUCAAUCAUAAAAGGUGGCUUUUAGCUACCACUUACAGAUGGACCCGCGGCGCAUUAGCUAGUUGGUGAGGUAACGGCUCACCAAGGCGACGAUGCGUAGCCCACCUGAGAGGGUGAUCGGCCACACUGGGACUGAGACACGGCCCAGACUCCUACGGGAGGCAGCAGUAGGGAAUCUUCCGCAAUGGACGAAAGUCUGACGGAGCAACGCCCCGUGAGUGAUGAAGGUUUUCGGAUCGUAAAACUCUGUUGUUAGGGAAGAACAAGUACCGUUCGAAUAGGGCGGCACCUUGACGGUACCUAACCAGAAAGCGACGGGUAACAACAUGCCAGCACCCGCGGUAGUACUUCGCGGUGCUUCGUUGUCCGCAAUUAUUGGCCCGAAUGCCCGGCCGCCGUUUCUUAAGUUUGAUUUCAAACCCGCCAGCUUAACCGGGGAGGGGCAUUGGUAACGGGGUAACUUGAGUGCUAAAGAGGAGAGAGGCAUUUCCCCGUGUAGCCGUGAAAUGCACAGAGAUGUCUACGAACACCACUGACCAAGGCCACUCUCUGGGCUGUAACUGACGCUCAGGCGCUACAGCCUGGAGAGCCGACAUGACUACAUACGCUGGUAGACAACGCCGGAAACUAUGAGGGCUCAGGGGUAAAUGCGAUUCCGCCCUUUAGUGCUGCAGGUAAACGCAUUUACGCAUUCCCCCCCGCGGAUUAAGGCCGGGGAGUAUUGAAAUCCAAAAUGAAAUAAACCGGCGGCCCCCCCCAUUCGGGCCAAAAAAGUUCGUUAAAUUCG
RNAcentral lists this ribosomal RNA (876 nucleotides) under Bacillus sp. (in: firmicutes). RNAcentral describes it as "bacterial SSU rRNA". It matches the Rfam family "Bacterial small subunit ribosomal RNA", at positions 105 to 953 of the family's 1533-position model. Lineage: Bacteria; Bacillati; Bacillota; Bacilli; Caryophanales; Bacillaceae. The record is from RNAcentral.